GGCACUGUGGCGGAGUGGUUAACGCGACAGAUUCGAAUUGUACAAUCUGUUCCACUUUGUGGGCGCAUGUUCGAGUCAUGCCAGUGUCG
Molecule: non-coding RNA, 89 nt
Organism: Mycena metata
Lineage: Eukaryota; Fungi; Basidiomycota; Agaricomycetes; Agaricales; Mycenaceae
Source: the annotation of a GenBank genome assembly